RNAcentral lists this ribosomal RNA (340 nucleotides) under uncultured soil bacterium. RNAcentral describes it as "bacterial SSU rRNA". It matches the Rfam family "Bacterial small subunit ribosomal RNA", at positions 26 to 372 of the family's 1533-position model. The record is from RNAcentral.
AGAUUGAACGCUGGCGGAAUGCUUUACACAUGCAAGUCGAACGGCAGCACGGGGGCAACCCUGGUGGCGAGUGGCGAACGGGUGAGUAAUACAUCGGAACGUGCCCAGUCGUGGGGGAUAACGUAGCGAAAGCUACGCUAAUACCGCAUACGAUCUACGGAUGAAAGCGGGGGAUCGCAAGACCUCGCGCGAUUGGAGCGGCCGAUGGCAGAUUAGGUAGUUGGUGGGGUAAAGGCUCACCAAGCCGACGAUCUGUAGCUGGUCUGAGAGGACGACCAGCCACACUGGGACUGAGACACGGCCCAGACUCCUACGGAGCAGCAGUGGGAAUUUGGACAAU